Molecule: long non-coding RNA, 498 nt
Organism: Electrophorus electricus (electric eel)
Lineage: Eukaryota; Metazoa; Chordata; Actinopteri; Gymnotiformes; Gymnotidae
Source: RefSeq, a predicted model, not a curated record
UUUCUCCUCUCCUCUCCUCCUUAACUCUUUUUUCCCUCCAUGUGUCCUACACAGUCUGUGCAAGUAGAUUCACUCUUUUGAUUGCACUGAAGGAGCCAGUAAGACUCGCAUCUCCUUCUAUCACCUUCAUCAACAUCAUCAUCACCUUCAUCAUCAUGAUCAUCUUCUUCUUCUUCUUCUUCUUCUUCUUCUUCUUCUUCUUCAUCAUCAUCAUCAUCAUCAUCAUCAUCAUCUCCACUGUCAUGACAAACUUCACCUCAUGUUAACCUUGUGAAACAGCAAAAAGGAAGGCCCUCUCAUUGGCCGACACCAUCUCCUGAUCACCACAGACCGCACAACGGCUGUCACCCCAUAUGACGUGUGGAACACCGCUGCUCACACGCACAUCUGACUCCCGCGCUCCUUCAUCCCCCCAGAAUCACCCAGAAGCUCUGGCAGGCCAAAUCCAUCACUGGGAAGGACGCAGAAAUAAAACCUUAUUGAACUUUUUAAAUUAGA